Long non-coding RNA from Pan troglodytes (chimpanzee), 606 nucleotides. RefSeq lists it as uncharacterized. The record is from RefSeq and is a predicted model, not a curated record. The transcript is spliced from 3 exons. NCBI's taxonomy places the organism in Eukaryota, Metazoa, Chordata, Mammalia, Primates, Hominidae.
AUGCUUCUACUUUGCUCUCUCGAAUGACUGGCUAUGAUGGAAACAGCCACCAUGUUGUGAGGACACUCAAUUAGCCUUGUGGAGAGACCCACAUGGGUGAGAAACUAAGGUCUGCCACCAACAGCCCACAUCCAUUGCCAGCUCUGAGAGCAAAUAGAUCCUGCAGACCUAGUCAAGCCUCAUUUGACUGACACCUCAGUCAACAUCUUGACUGCAAGCCCAUGCAAAACACUGAGCCAGAAACCACCCACCCAAGAAGCUGUGAAUUCCUGACUGGCAAAAAAUAUCUAAAGUCCUGCUUUUAAAAACACAAAGAUUUCUUCUAUAUGGAACUUGAUUGCCUUCAUUCAGUCAUCGAGAGUCUUCAGGAGAUCUGAAGACCCAGAGCAAAUCAGAAAUGUUGACGGGGAAAAAUGUGCAGAAAUGUCUGAGAGUAAACCCCCUGUCCUUAAACAAAUUUUUCUUCUGAAAUUUUCUGCUUCAUUAUGGAGUCUCACUCUGUUGCCUAAGCUGGAGUACAGUGGCGCGAUUUCGGCUCACUGCAACCUCCACCUCCCAGAUUCAAGUCAUUUUCCUGCCUCAGCCUCCCCGUAGCUGGGACUACAG